GGUAAUAUACUGAAGUAAAGUACGGAAGCUAUAGCAACUAAAUAUUUGAUACAACCCUGGACCUGGUGUCACAAGUGCACGAGCUACUAAAAUAGUACAAAUAAGGGUUUGAAUAAAACAUAAAGCUAUCUGAAGGAAAAUACACAGCUAAAUAAAAGGAAAGGGGACUCUAGAAGCUGCGGACGCCGAGUAGCUUUACCUCUAGUCUCCGCAAAGCUGGCCAAUUCGAGUACGCUAAUAACCGCUGCCUGGGAACGACCCCAAACUCUUCACAAGAAGUGCAGAGUGUAGUAUGAGUACAACCGACGCCAUAUACUCUGUAAGUGCCGAGUCUAACCUCGAUGAAGUAGUGACGAGGCUAAGGCAGGUCAUUUACACUACAACCUGUAUGCAAUAUAUAAUAAAGACAUAAGAAGAAAAUACAUAACGAAAUAAGACAGUUAGCUGAAGAAAAUAGCUAAAUCCUCAAAGAAAACCAAUGCCGAUUAGAAUUACCAAUCCUUAGAGUUCCGUAUGAAAAUUAUUGAGAACCAAUACAGUACAGGGAAAUAGAAACAUAUAGGUUGUUGGGCGCGCAACCCGAUCCCACCGUAUAGCACAAUCCUCCCUUAUUCCAAUGUAAUAAUAUCAAUAAUCAUAAAUAAAUAAAUACAUGUUGCGGUGCGCAACCCGAUCCCACUAUAUAACAAAACCAGUAUCAUAAUUCACCUUUAUCUCACUGUAUCAAUCCACCCUUAUAUCAUAUGUUGUGGAGUGCAACCCGAUCCUACCAUAUCAGGAAAAUUCACCUUUAUUCUACCAUAUCAAUUCACCCUUAUUUCACCUAUUGCGGCAUGCAACUCGAUCCCACCAUAUCAAUACAAAUAUUCACUAAGUAUUAUUAAAUCCAUAACUCAAAUCACAAGAAUCUCUACGAUUGAUGAAUAUAAAGUUGAAUCAGAAAGGAAACCUUGUACCAACUUGGAAAUUCACAAAUGUAAUACUACACAGCAAGACAAAUCCAGUAAUGACAAUUAGAAGGUGCAAGUAAGUCAAUUAAGGCAAAUAUCAAUGAGUCAUAAAAUGAAAAGGUCUAACAUUUAACAGGAGAAACAAUGAUUAACAAGUAGCAAAUAAAGCAUGGAAGACAUUUAGAGCAUAUAACAGCUAAGGCAGGGAAGGAGAUAAUUAAGGAAAAGCGGAAAAUCGGAGAAACAAGAAAUUCGACAGCGUAUAAGCACCCGUCACCUUGCAUAUAUGCCGCAACACAUGAAAUUCACAUAGCAUAUAGUCUGAGGGUUCCUAAUUCAUUCAAAUCAAGAUUAACCUCAACACUUAACUCACUCUGCAGUCAACUCAGAGCUCUACCCGGGCCUUUCCCCUAGAAUCCGCCUCCAAACCACUCGUAUCUAACCACUAUUGACUCAAUAAUAUCAAAUAUUGCUAAAGAAAUGUUGCGACCCAAACCGAUGGGACGCGACAAGCACCCAAUACCUUACUCAACCGAGUAACAACAUAACGUAUCUUUUCGUAUCAUACUAUCAUAGGUAAAUGAGCUAGAGAGGCUACCGUGAGAUAAAUAGAAUAAAACAUGGAGAGAUACUUGACAUUGGACGAUCCAACAUGUAAUCCAAACUUAUACGUAUGACCUACGGGCCUAUAAGCCCGGCAUGAUUCUUUAUAUACUCAAAACAUAGGCCGACAAGGCCAUGCAAGAAUCCGUAUACAUGACAUCUGUCUACAAGCCUCCAAGAAUACAUAAUAUCGUAAGGUCGAGAUAGAGCCCCACCAUACCAAACAAUACACAUCUAAAUUAUACUGACCAAACAAGCAACUCUGGAGCAAAUGGAGUGCACCAACAUCUUCCGUUGAGCUGAUCGCCUACUUGGAGGACUCUCAACCUGUCUAUCGGGACCUGCGGGCAUGAAACGCAGCAUCCCCAGAAAAAAGGGACGCCAGUACAAAUAAUGCACCCAGUAUGUAAGGAAUGAAAAUCAGUAGACAAUAGACAUAAGAGAAAAAUAGAGUAAAAGACUUGACAUGUAAAUCUGAAUUGCUCGUGAAAUCCUUUAAUAUUUAAAAUGUCAUGCAUAUACGUAUAAAUGUCAUGUCGUGCAUAGGUACAUGUGUUCAUGACAUCAUCAAGCCUCUGAGAGCAUUCCAUCAUAUCAUCUAGGCCACUUUGGGCAAAAUCAUCAACGUAUACCAGCUGAUCAGGUGGUGGUGCGUAUAUAAUGCCAUAACCUUUCCCAUAUACAUAUAUAUAUGCGUAUAUAAUGACAUCUGGUCAUGGGUCAAUGUACAUAUGUAAAUGCAUGAAAUGCAUGUGAAAAUAUGUUAAUAAAAUCCCUCGGUACGUCAUAAUACCAUUAUGCCUAUGAUUGAUAUCAUGAAAUAAAUUUUACCAACUUACGUAUUUUUGAGACCCAUGAACAGAUGAUAGAAUAAUAUGACACAUGAGGAAUCAAGAACAUAAGUAUCUCUAGUAUUUCUAUGAAUAGAGUCAUUUAUGGAAUUUGUGCAUUUUCUCGUUUCGUUCGUGUCAUAUAGAUCAUACCAAAAAGAAAGAAAGGAUAGCCUUAACAUACCUUAAUUGCUCAUAAGAACUUGAGAAGGUCAUAGAUGAAUAUUCAAACUUUGGAUCAUAUUCAAAAUAAUUAACCUGAAGGUGUUGGCAUGAAUUUCCAAGAAUUAUCCCUAACUAAGCUUGAACGUUGGUUAAUUCCUUCUUCAUGCCAAAUAAAGUGUGCUGUAUGUUAUAAUAUAAUAGAUUUUCCAAGAAUGAGAGCACACCGAAAUGAAGCAAAAAUGGUCAAAAAGGUACUGUCCAAAAGACAAAUAGUUCAUUGAAAUAUGGAACAUAUCUAUUCACGUUACUAUAUCUCUUCUUUUCUUUAUCCCCUUUUUUUCUGUCCCACAACUACUUAUCUUUAACAUUAAUUUAUUAAGGAGAU
RNAcentral lists this long non-coding RNA (2933 nucleotides) under Nicotiana tabacum (common tobacco). Its description in RNAcentral is "long non-coding RNA (NTAB_LNC004518)". The record is from RNAcentral. Lineage: Eukaryota; Viridiplantae; Streptophyta; Magnoliopsida; Solanales; Solanaceae.